AUGGGGUAGAAUGAGGAAACAAGAGAUCAAAGCGAUUAAUUAAUAAUUUACUCCAGCAAUAUAUACCAAUUACAAUUCAAUUCUAGUCCUAUAAAUUCAAUUAAAGUUUCUUCUAAUGGACAGAAGAGGGCAAGUGGGGGGA
Caenorhabditis elegans is the source of this 142-nucleotide non-coding RNA. NCBI's taxonomy places the organism in Eukaryota, Metazoa, Nematoda, Chromadorea, Rhabditida, Rhabditidae. The record is from Ensembl.